UCAGGCUCAUUCAGGGUGGUCAGAGCAGGUUGCUUAUGGAGAAGAGAUCCACGCCACACUCUGCUUUCAAACAGCUUUUCAUCAAUAGAUAGCAUUGCUUAUAAAUGGGGUCUGGGAAAAAAUAAUGGCCUCAGUCAAGCUAAUCAAUUUUUCUAGAUAAUAAUCCAAAGUGAAUGUUGUAUAGUAUUAUUACUUACCAAUGUCUGUGAUAAGUACAGCCAAGUUUGGGGUUUUCUGGAUACUUCUUUUAGUUUUCCUUUAAUUUCCAGGGAGCAGGUUAUAAUUACAGGGCCUUUCAGUGAUGUUUUAAGGAUUAUUUUCAUCUCACUGCUGCGUUUCUUAUAAAAAUGGAAAGUCCCAGAUUUGUAUUGGCAGAUUGGAUUAAAAUUCAUCACUCGCUGCAUUUUUUCCAGGUCUAUUUCUUAAUUACUUAAACUGAUUUAGGUAAUUAGUUGGCUCUGUACCAAUCCUUUACUAAGUUUAGUUUGAGUUUUGUUUCAGUGUUGUCAUAGGAUGAAUAAUGGCCUCUUAAAGACAGCCAAGUCCUAAUUCUCAGAACCAGUGAAUAUGGGUACCUUGCUUUGUAAAAGAGACUUUGCACGUGUGAUUAAGUUACAGAUCUUGAGGUGAGAGAUUAUCCUGGGUUGUUGGGUUGGGCCAAUGUAAUCACAAGAGUCUUUAUAGGAGGGAGGCAGGAGAUCAGAGUGACUCACAGCAGAUAGAGGCAAGAGGUUGGGAUGACAUGAGAAUGAGGUCAAGAGCCACAGAAUGCAGAUGGCCUGAGAAGCUGAUGGAGGCAAGAAAAGAGAUUCUUCCCACGUCCCAGAAGGAACCAGCCCUGCCAGCACCUUGACAGUAGCCCAGGGAGACUGAUUUUGGAUUUCUGACUUCCAGAACUAUAAGAGAAAAAAUUCUCAUUGUUUUAAACCAUUCAGUUUAUGGUAAUUUGUCACAGUAGCCAUAGGAAACUAAUACAAACAUUGACGUCAUUCAAGACAUACAGCUGUACAUUUCAUUUGAUUGGUUGAACUAUUGGGGUUAAUAUUUAUUCCUACACCAAGUAUCUAAGUUUACUUCAUUGCUGUCAAAAUGCAAACUACUGUUGGCUUAGAUUUUAUUGAUGACUUGAGAAAAUGUUAUAUAUGUUCAUCUAUAAGGAAACCACUAAGUUAAAAUUCAGAAUUAAAAAUCAGAUAGAGUGGCUAGUCAUCUUACUAAAGGUUGUUUUGUUUAGGCAAAUUUGCUGCAUGAGUCAUAAAUAUCAUGGAGCCACACUAAAACAUUUCAAAAGUGAGUCAACUUACAAAACUGCAAUUUGCUUCCAAACUCUUCAAGGACAUCUAUUGCAUAAAGAAAUCAAGCAAGGAAGGCCAGAAUAGAAUUCUGGUAUAUCUACACUUCAAACAAGUUUACAAUGGAAGAAUGGCCUCCUCAAAACCCCAAACAGCUGGAAUCGGGCCAAUUAGUAGGAUUAUUGCAAAGACCAGACAUUUAUCAGGACCCUUUUGCAGAAACACAUGUGGGGCUGUAAGCGAUGCAUUUCCUGGCUUCUGACAUGAGCUAAACAUCUGUUCAAGGCAAGGCUGUAAUGAAACUGUCCCAAGGCAUCUGAGAGUGGAGAGUGAUUGGACUCGGGUGAAGACUCCAAGAUGGCGAUCGCCACCUCGGAUACCCUGACUCAGCAUUUCCGGGUUCACCUUUCCUGUUCCCGCCAACCCGACUAACGCGCAUGCCCACUAGGGCGUGUCACACAGAGAAGUGCGAAACUCAACCGACCCCGCCCCUACCCCGCCCACUCCUCACCCAGCAUCCAUAAAAGCGUGCUGCCCCUUUGGCACAGCGCGACUUCCCUGGCCCUCCCCCUGCGGACCAGUGAACCUCGCCCGAGAGCUCAAUAAAGAAGAUUUUUGCCCUC
This 1915-nucleotide long non-coding RNA is filed under the name Homo sapiens (human). Its description in RNAcentral is "HSALNT0339432". The record is from RNAcentral. Lineage: Eukaryota; Metazoa; Chordata; Mammalia; Primates; Hominidae.